GUUUAUGUAGCUUAUUUUUUUUAAAGCGUGACACUGAAAAUGCCAAGAUAGAUUUUUAAAUGAUCUCAUAAACA
RNAcentral lists this transfer RNA (74 nucleotides) under Mertensiella caucasica. Its description in RNAcentral is "tRNA-Phe". It matches the Rfam family "tRNA". Rfam says of the family: Transfer RNA (tRNA) molecules are approximately 80 nucleotides in length. Their secondary structure includes four short double-helical elements and three loops (D, anti-codon, and T loops). The record is from RNAcentral. Lineage: Eukaryota; Metazoa; Chordata; Amphibia; Caudata; Salamandridae.